UUGCGAAUAUGAAGCGUUUUCUUGUGGUUAACGAUGCUGGUUUCGUUUUACAGGGAAAGUUGAGGAAUUGACAAUGGCGUUAUCGGACCUCGUUUGGGAAGAUAUGGUGGCUGGUACGGAGACACACAGGAUCAAGAUUCAACAACAAGAGUUUGGUUCUUUCAGUAGUUACUGCUAGCUUCAUUCUAAACAAGAAGCCAAUAAAGAACGGCCUCCAAAGCCAAAGCUCAGAAGCAAGGAUUUGAUUAAAAGGGGCUUCCAUUCUUGUAUGAUUAUUGUUUAUGGGGGAAUUCAUAUUUGUUGUUUGGCCAUAAAAAUUAAAAGCACAUGCUUUUGUUCAUCAAAACUGAUUUUUGGUUUCUGUUUA
This is a long non-coding RNA of Helianthus annuus (common sunflower), 367 nucleotides long. RefSeq lists it as uncharacterized. NCBI's taxonomy places the organism in Eukaryota, Viridiplantae, Streptophyta, Magnoliopsida, Asterales, Asteraceae. The transcript is spliced from 2 exons. The record is from RefSeq and is a predicted model, not a curated record.